This 230-nucleotide ribosomal RNA is filed under the name uncultured bacterium. Its description in RNAcentral is "partial 16S ribosomal RNA". It matches the Rfam family "Bacterial small subunit ribosomal RNA", at positions 15 to 228 of the family's 1533-position model. The record is from RNAcentral.
GAUCAUGCUCAGGACGAACGCUGGCGGCGUGCUUAACACAUGCAAGUCGAACGGAGCACCCUUGAUUGAGGUUUCGGCCAAAUGAUAGGAAUGCUUAGUGGCGGACUGGUGAGUAACGCGUGAGGAACUUGCCUUUCAGAGGGGGACAACAGUUGGAAACGACUGCUAAUACCGCAUGACGCAUUUUGAUCGCAUGGUCGAAAUGCCAAAGAUUUAUCGCUGAAAGAUGG